RNAcentral lists this ribosomal RNA (311 nucleotides) under uncultured bacterium. RNAcentral's name for it is "bacterial SSU rRNA". It matches the Rfam family "Bacterial small subunit ribosomal RNA", at positions 28 to 334 of the family's 1533-position model. The record is from RNAcentral.
GACGAACGCUGGCGGCGCGCCUAACACAUGCAAGUCGAACGAGCGAGAGAGAGCUUGCUUUCUCAAGCGAGUGGCGAACGGGUGAGUAACGCGUGAGGAACCUGCCUCAAAGAGGGGGACAACAGUUGGAAACGACUGCUAAUACCGCAUAAGCCCACGGCCCGGCAUCGGGCUGAGGGAAAAGGAGCAAUUCGCUUUGGGAAGGACUCGCGUCCGAUUAGCUAGAUGGUGAGGUAACGGCCCACCAUGGCGACGAUCGGUAGCCGGACUGAGAGGUUGAUCGGCCACAUUGGGACUGAGACACGGCCCAG